CCCGAGCUCGGCUCCGCUCGGCUCGUGUGCGGCCCCGCCGGGCCCUUGUUCCGCCGAUGGCGGCCGGGCUGGGGCCGUGGCUGCUGGGCUUGGGCUUGGCCUUGGGGCCGGCAGGCGUGUGGGCGCAGCUGAGGCUGGUGGAGGCCGGCGGAGGGCAGCGAGCGCCCGGGGACUCCGUGCUCCUCUCCUGCCGCGGACACGGCUCCGACUUCGGGAGAUACCGAAUCUGGUGGUACCGUCAGGCACCCGGUGGCAGGCUGCAAUGUGAGACUGCAACAGGAGCAAGAGACAACCUGCCAGCCCUGGGGGCAUCUCCAGUGUCCCAGCAGCACCAGCCUGCAGUGCAGCUCCAGUGGAAGGUUGGAGUGGCCCUACAGCACAUCUCCUUUUGCCCAGCAGAGGUUUUGCUGCCAAGUGAGCUGUGAUGGUUUAGUCUGAUAUCCACCCAGUCAUAAAGUCACUGCCUCUCCUAAACUGGACAGGAGAGACAGAGAAAUACACCAAAUGGCUUGUGAGCUGAGAUAAGGAUGGAGAGGCCACUCAGCAAUGAGCAUCACAGGCAAAACAGACUCAACUUGGGGAGAAAAAGGUUUGAU
Colius striatus (speckled mousebird) is the source of this 596-nucleotide non-coding RNA. NCBI's taxonomy places the organism in Eukaryota, Metazoa, Chordata, Aves, Coliiformes, Coliidae. The record is from the annotation of a RefSeq genome assembly.